This 1459-nucleotide ribosomal RNA is filed under the name metagenome. RNAcentral describes it as "bacterial SSU rRNA". It matches the Rfam family "Bacterial small subunit ribosomal RNA". The record is from RNAcentral.
CGGGUGGAUGUGCGUUUAUUUAAUCGGGUUAGCGGCAAACUGGUGAAUAACACGUGGGUAACGUACCUUGAGGAGGGGGAUAGCCUCGCGAAAGCGGGAGUAAUACCCCAUACGCCCCUGAUACUGAAAUGUUUCAAGGGGAAAGAUGGCCUCUACUUGUAAGCUAUCACCUUAAGAGCGGCCCGCGGCCUAUCAGGUAGUUGGUAGGGUAAUGGCCUACCAAGCCUAAUACGGGUAGCUGGCCUUAGAGGGUUGUCAGCCACAUCGGGACUGAGACACUGCCCGGACUCCUACGGGAGGCUGCAGUCGAGAAUCUUUCUCAAUGGACGAAAGUCUGAAGAUGCGACGCCGCGUGAAGGAUGAAGGCCUUCGGGUUGUAAACUUCUUUUAUCGGGGAGGAAGGUUUAAGGGUGAACAAUCCUUGAAUUUGACUGUACUCGGUGAAUAAGCCACGGCUAACUCCGUGCCAGCAGCCGCGGUAAUACGGAGGUGGCUAGCGUUACUCGGUUUGACUGGGUGUAAAGGGUCCGCAGGCGGCCAUAUAAGUGAAAGGUGAAAUCCUUCGGCUCAACCGGAGAAUUGCCUUUCAAACUGUUUGGCUUGAGGCUGUAAGAGGAGAGUGGAACUGACAGUGUAAAGGUGAAAUUUGUGGACAUUGUCAGGAACGCCCGUGGGGAAGCCGGCUCUCUGGUACAGACCUGACGCUCAGGGACGAAAGCUAGGGGAGCGAACAGGAUUAGAUACCCUGGUAGUCCUAGCUGUAAACGAUGGGCACUAGGUGUUUGUCCGUUAUGGAUGGGUGCCGAAGGUAACCUGUUAAGUGCCCCACCUGGGGACUACGGCCGCAAGGCUAAAACUCAAAGGAAUUGACGGGGGCCCGCACAAGCGGUGGAACACGUGGUUUAAUUCGAUGCUACGCGAGGAACCUUACCAAGGUUUGACAUGCUGGAAGUAGUAGCCUGAAAAGGCGUCCGAUCGGUAACCAAUCCGAAACCAGCACAGGUGCUGCAUGGCUGUCGUCAGCUCGUGCCGUGAGGUGUUUCCUUAAGUGGAAGAACGAGCGCAACCCUCGCCAUUAGUUGCUAACCAUGGUCUUUAAUCAUGGUGCACUCUACUGGGACUGCCCGCGUUAAGUGGGAGGAAGGCGGGGACGACGUCAAGUCCGCAUGGCCUUUAUAUCUUGGGCUACACACGUGUUACAAUGCCUAGUACAAAGGGAGGCAAAACCGCAAGGUGAAGCAAAUCCCUAAAAAGUAGGCUCAGUUCGGAUUGGGGGCUGCAAUUCGUCCCCAUGAAGCUGGAAUCGCUAGUAAUGGCGCAUCAGCUACGGCGCCGUGAAUACGUUCCCGGGCCUUGUACACACCGCCCGUCAAGCGCUGAAAGUGAGGGGCACCUGAAGCUCCGACGUUUGCCGGAGUCACGGUGAAUUUCGUGAUUGGCGCUAGGUCGUAACAAGGUA